RNAcentral lists this ribosomal RNA (253 nucleotides) under uncultured bacterium. Its description in RNAcentral is "partial 16S ribosomal RNA". It matches the Rfam family "Bacterial small subunit ribosomal RNA", at positions 524 to 776 of the family's 1533-position model. The record is from RNAcentral.
UACAGAGGGUGCAAGCGUUAAUCGGAAUUACUGGGCGUAAAGCGCGCGUAGGUGGUUCGUUAAGUUGGAUGUGAAAUCCCCGGGCUCAACCUGGGAACUGCAUCCAAAACUGGCGAGCUAGAGUAUGGUAGAGGGUGGUGGAAUUUCCUGUGUAGCGGUGAAAUGCGUAGAUAUAGGAAGGAACACCAGUGGCGGAGGCGACCACCUGGACUGAUACUGACACUGAGGUGCGAAAGCGUGGGGAGCAAACAGG